This 744-nucleotide ribosomal RNA is filed under the name Brevundimonas sp. KAs5-R9. RNAcentral describes it as "bacterial SSU rRNA". It matches the Rfam family "Bacterial small subunit ribosomal RNA", at positions 8 to 798 of the family's 1533-position model. Lineage: Bacteria; Pseudomonadati; Pseudomonadota; Alphaproteobacteria; Caulobacterales; Caulobacteraceae. The record is from RNAcentral.
AGAGUUUGAUCCUGGCUCAGAGCGAACGCUGGCGGCAGGCCUAACACAUGCAAGUCGAACGAACUCUUCGGAGUUAGUGGCGGACGGGUGAGUAACACGUGGGAACGUGCCUUUAGGUUCGGAAUAACUCAGGGAAACUUGUGCUAAUACCGAAUGUGCCCUUCGGGGGAAAGAUUUAUCGCCUUUGGAGCGGCCCGCGUCUGAUUAGCUAGUUGAUGAGGUAAAGGCUCACCAAGGCGACGAUCAGUAGCUGGUCUGAGAGGAUGAUCAGCCACAUUGGGACUGAGACACGGCCCAAACUCCUACGGGAGGCAGCAGUGGGGAAUCUUGCGCAAUGGGCGAAAGCCUGACGCAGCCAUGCCGCGUGAAUGAUGAAGGUCUUAGGAUUGUAAAAUUCUUUCACCGGGGACGAUAAUGACGGUACCCGGAGAAGAAGCCCCGGCUAACUUCGUGCCAGCAGCCGCGGUAAUACGAAGGGGGCUAGCGUUGCUCGGAAUUACUGGGCGUAAAGGGAGCGUAGGCGGACAUUUAAGUCAGGGGUGAAAUCCCGGGGCUCAACCUCGGAAUUGCCUUUGAUACUGGGUGUCUUGAGUAUGAGAGAGGUGUGUGGAACUCCGAGUGUAGAGGUGAAAUUCGUAGAUAUUCGGAAGAACACCAGUGGCGAAGGCGACACACUGGCUCAUUACUGACGCUGAAGCUCGAAAGCGUGGGGAGCAAACAGGAUUAGAUACCCUGGUAGUCCAC